Acanthosepion pharaonis is the source of this 113-nucleotide non-coding RNA. The record is from the annotation of a GenBank genome assembly. NCBI's taxonomy places the organism in Eukaryota, Metazoa, Mollusca, Cephalopoda, Sepiida, Sepiidae.
UACGGCCACAUCAAGUUGAAGCACCGAUUCCCGUACUAUCAACGAAGUUAAGCAGCGUCGCGCCUGGUCAGUAUCUAGAUGGGUGAUUUCUUGGGAAUAUCAUGUGUUGUAAG